This 417-nucleotide ribosomal RNA is filed under the name uncultured Nitrosomonas sp. Its description in RNAcentral is "bacterial SSU rRNA". It matches the Rfam family "Bacterial small subunit ribosomal RNA", at positions 235 to 644 of the family's 1533-position model. The record is from RNAcentral. Lineage: Bacteria; Pseudomonadati; Pseudomonadota; Betaproteobacteria; Nitrosomonadales; Nitrosomonadaceae.
GUCUGAUUAGCUAGUUGGUGGGGUAAAGGCCUACCAAGGCGACGAUCAGUAGUUGGUCUGAGAGGACGACCAACCACACUGGGACUGAGACACGGCCCAGACUCCUACGGGAGGCAGCAGUGGGGAAUUUUGGACAAUGGGCGCAAGCCUGAUCCAGCCAUGCCGCGUGAGUGAAGAAGGCCUUCGGGUUGUAAAGCUCUUUCAGUUGGGAAGAAACGAUUGCAACUAAUAAUUGUAAUUAAUGACGGUACCGACAGAGGAAGCACCGGCUAACUACGUGCCAGCAGCCGCGGUAAUACGUAGGGUGCGAGCGUUAAUCGGAAUUACUGGGCGUAAAGGGUGCGCAGGCGGUUUUGUAAGUCAGAUGUGAAAUCCCCGGGCUUAACCUGGGGACUGCGUUUGAAACUACAAGGCUAG